This is a long non-coding RNA of Neltuma alba, 358 nucleotides long. RefSeq lists it as uncharacterized. NCBI's taxonomy places the organism in Eukaryota, Viridiplantae, Streptophyta, Magnoliopsida, Fabales, Fabaceae. The record is from RefSeq and is a predicted model, not a curated record. The transcript has 3 exons.
CUGAGGCUGAUAGAGAUACUGUGCUUCACUCGGCCAUUAGGAGAGAGCACCUACAUUUGGCAUUCUACAUUAUCAAAAAGUGCCCACAGCUUUCGCACGAAUUCAAUACGAAGGGAGUGAGUCCUCUUGAGCUGCUGGCCAGAACACCUUCCCUGUUUAGAAGUAGCUACAACCUUUCCUGGUGGAAACAUAUCAUAUACUUCUGUAUACAAGUUGAUCCACUGAAGUAUGAUCCCAAUUUUACUUCUAAAACAAGUCCAGAUCGUAAAAGCUCCCACAUUUUUUGUCCGCCUUCUGCCCAUAAAAGGCAAGGUAUGUUGCAUGCAUCGUAAGAGGGCACCGAACUCCCCUUCCUUCU